CUCUAAAUUCUGCUGUCACUUAUAUUUAUCUUCUUCCUAGUAAUCUACACUCUCUUGCUCAUUUCCCAUCCGACUUAAUAAAAUACAGUGCUGAGUGUAUAUCAUUGCUUGAAUGGUAUUUUUUCAAUUUACGGAAAGAAGUAAUGACUCAUUUACAAAUUCUUUCUUCUCUCUUAUCAGGAGGCAGCAUUGUACUCCAGGGUAUCAUGCCGAGUGCUAUCGCCACUUUUGUAACAUUACCACAAUCAAUAGAGCAAUAGCCAGAUGCAGAAGGAAGAAAGAAGCUGACAAGAUUCAAGCAGGAUCAGAUCAAGCCCAUCAUGAUGAGCCACCUGACCCAGCCCCCAAGAGACUGCUUCGGUCCAACAUAAAUGUCAGUGAUGGUCAACAAUCAAAAGAUCGACAGUGUGAUCGAAAGCGUGUCCUCCCAGUGCAAUGCAUCAUCUGCAAACGCAUGAAAUACAUCAAAGAACAAUGUUCUGGUAAGAGAAAAGUAGAGAAAUUAGUUCAAUGUGAAACAAAACAUGGUGGGCAGUUACUUGCUGCUGCCGCCACUAUGAAGCAAGAUGAAGCAUUAUUACUGCACAUUAGGGACCAAGAUCUUGUAGCUAUUGAAGCAAGAUAUCACAAAUCAUGCUACCUUAGAUAUACUAAGGUUGUUGCGAAGUCUGUAGAAAUAAGCAAGCAAGAAUAUCAGCAACAAAUGUAUGAGAAGUCUGUAGAAAUAAGCAAGCAAGAAUAUCAGCAACAAAUGUAUGAGAAGUCGUACAUCAGUUUCUGCAAAAAAGUCAUUGAGGAGCGAAUCAUCCGAGGAAAGGAGAUCUUGAGACUUUCCAAGCUAAAUCAGCUGUUCAUCAAGGAGGUUCGAGAAAUAGAGAACACUGAUGCUUCAUCUUACAAGACAGGCCACUUGAAGGCAAGGUUGAAAAGAUCACAUCCUGUUUUGUGUUUUGCCAGACCAUCAAGACAAAUAGAAAGUGACAUUGUGUUUGUAGAAACCCUUGGCGUUGAAGAGGUGGUUGAAGACGCUGCUAAAGAGCUGUCCAGUGAAAAUGGUGAGUGUAGAUGAAAACCAACCAGAAGGGUCAUCAUCUCAUCACCUUAGAGAUAUGUUUCAUGCAGCCCAAAUCCUGCAAGAGAGCAUUAACAAUGCACCAAACCCUAUCCAAUGGCCUCCUACUGCUGCUGAUAUCACAAUUGAGAAGGCAAAGGAGAUAGUUCCCACAUAACUUUACAACUUUCUAGCAUGAACCACCAGAGCAAGCAGUAAGCCCAGAGAAUCUGGAAUAGUUAAUGUUCCUGAUGAAGUGCAUCACCGUCUACUGUUAGUUGCCAAGGAUAUGAUGUAUCUCAAAGCAAAAGUAAGAAUACUUCUACCCAAACAAACGUCUCUUGCCAUGGCGGUUAGACACCUGACCGGCUUGGCCAAAUUAAUUGGGCUGCUAAAUGGAUAUGGCCAUUGUGUGUCAAAUUCAGCCACCUUGGAACAUGAUACUGCCCUAGCAAAGAUACAGCUAGCACAGGGGCUCAGCAUACUUCCAGCUGGAACUCGGGAUAUCUAGUGUGGGCCAACAACGAUUUUGGGGAAGAAACAGUGAGUGGUAAGGGAAACACACACAACAUGAAUGGCAUACUUCUCUAGUGGUGUCCAUCUACCUCUGAAGCAUCACAGUCUGUACGCAUCCCAAGAGACAGGGAACGAUCUUUCCAACCACCAUCCCCCAACAUCAAGAAGUAUUAUGGGAGCAAACGAAUUGGACUGAAGUCAGAUGGAAAACACGUUGAUCUUCUGGAUAGACAUCAUCGACCAGUCCAAAGUUUGGCAAGAAAGCUUGAUCUGGCUCUGUGCGUGAUGAAAUUGGCAGAUCCAUCUGAUAGGGUCUUCCCUGUCUGGACAGGCUGCAAUACUCUCCGACAAAAGGAGGUUCCAGAGAUGUGUAGUAUUGCCGAUCUACCAAUUAUCGAUGCCAGUCCAACAGAGUAUGACACUGUGUACACCGUCCUCGAGAAGUUCCUUUAAAUAGCAGAUGCCUUCAAGCAAGAAGAGGUGGUUGUCGUGUUUGAUCAAGUUAUAUACUCCAAAGCCCAACAAAUCAGAUGGGGUAAUAAGAGAUUUUCUGAAUGGGUAAUUCUUCGUCUUGGUGCUUUCCACACUUCACUGGCCAUGUUAGCAUGUAUCGGAAAAAAGGUUUAGAGAUGCAGGUCUCGAGACCUUGGUGAUCGAAGCAGGUAUCAUUGCGCAAGGAUCUCUGGAUGGUGCAAUGAAUGGUCAUCACUGUAACCGAAGUAUUCGUAUGCACAAGUGUGUGGUGGAAGCAAUGGAACGCCUCCGCUGGCAAAGUUUUCUUGACUCGCUUGCAGAAGAGGAUAAACUUCAAGCACAAAGGUUAAUGACCCAACUGAAUGCAACAUUUCCAGAGGAGGCUUUCACAGAGCUUGUGUCCUCAGAUCUAUAUCAAAAUGUGACAACAAUGUAUGACAAGUUUGUCAAUGAUAAGUCAAAAAAUCUAACGUUUGCAGUUUGGUCUUCGCACAUUAAGAUGGUAGAAGUGGUGCUACUGUUCCUGAGAGCAACAAGAGAAGGGAACUGUAACUUGCAUCUCUUAGCUGUGAGAUCAUUUCUACCAUGGUUAUUUGCUUAUGAUCACGUGAACGAUGCAGGCUAUUUGCCAGCCUACCAGCUUGAAAUGUGUGACCUCCCUUCAUCUCAUCCUGCAGUUCACCAGGAGUUCAUGAAAGGCCAUUUCUCUGUUCAGAGGAAAGUUGAUCAUGGAUUUUCACAAGUUGCCUAUGAUCAAGCCAUCGAGCAGACCUGCAACCGAUGCACGAAAACAAAAGGAGGAAUGGUGGGAUUCACAACUCAAAAAGGAGCUGUUUCAAGAUGGAUAUUAUCCCAGCAAGAGAGAGCUGCCAUUUCCAGGAGAUGUGAAGAACUGGCAGGGAAAGAUGAGAGAUCAAGAGGUCAGAAGGACUUGCAGUCAUCACAAAUACAGAGAGAUGAAGAGGAUAUCUGCAAGGUGGUAACUGUCUUGGAGGCAAUGAUUAAUCCCUUCGAAGACAGCCAUGAUCAGUUAGUUCACAUAGCUUCUGGUGCUGUAGCAUCCAAGGUGGUAUCUGCAGAUUACAUGAAUGCAAUGGGAGAAGGGAGAUGCGGCAUUCAUCUCGUACUGCAAGGAACGUCUUCAGGGCAGUGAAGAUAUGUUCAAACCACUGAAGAAAGAGAAGACCAAGACCUUCCAGUCAAUGAACCAAAUCAACUCCAUCUCAAGUGAAAGGCAAGCAAGUGACAUUAAUGGCUGAUAGAAAUCUGUUCUAGCGAUUUGUGAUUAUUGGUAAUAUCCAGAAACUGGAUAUUGGUCACAUGCUAAAAUACAACUUAGGCCCACUUCUGCUCUCCCUUGCACAUCCAGAUGGGUCAGUAAACAAAACAGCAAAGUCUUCCUUGUUUCACGUCAUUGAAUCACAAGUACAGCCAUUUCCAGAAGUCAGCAUUCUGCCUGGAAACAUCUGGAUUAUCGAUGGCAUGGUUAUGGUGCAAAAACUAUCCCCAAGGAGUAUCCCUUCAACAUUUGGCAAGCUUGCGGAUUACCUUCUGAAGCAACUUGUUGAGUUGGCCCUCAGUGUUCCGAGUGUUGUCCACUUUGUUGUUUAUACAGGAAAGACAGCAUCAAGAAAGCUGAGAGGGGAAGAUGUUCAGUGGGUGGCAGCUUGCUAACAAAAAUCUACAGUGCAAAUCAGCAGGUACCUCACCAAUGGAAGUUUCUGGCAUGUGGCGAGAACAAAGCAGAGCACAUGAGGGUUUUUUUUUCCAGACUUGGAGGAAGAAACCAGCUGAAUGUUUGAAGAAAGUCAAGGUGUUCGUUGCUCAUGAUGGGGAGUGCCAUGAGUUUACAGACGAGAAUGAGCAAAUGAUUGUUUGCUCUGUGCCAGAACUUGAGUGUAACCAUGAAGAAGCAGAUACUCGUCUUUGCCUUCACUGCCAGUAUGCUGAUGGACAUCAGCCAUCAAGUUCAACAGAUAGGGCCCCAUACUCGGUCCUAAUUAAAAAUCCUGACACAGACGUCUUUGUGAUUGGAAUCACCAUGGCUGAGCAUAUUGGAGCAGAGGUAUUGUUCCACACUGGAAGAGGUAACAAUAGGAGGACCCUGAGUCUAUCAAAGAUAAGCUCACAUCUGGGACCAGAUAUCAGCAAAGCCUUGAUAUCACUCCACUGUUUCACACGUUGUGAUUCGGUCAGCUCUUUUCAUGGAAAGUCUAAACCCAAAGCCUUCAAGUUGUUUGCAAGUGACACUGCUUGCCAUGCUGUCUUUCAAGAGUUGGGGAGUUCAUUCACAGUGGGGGGGGGGGGGGGGGGGGGGGGGGGGGGGGGGGGGG
RNAcentral lists this long non-coding RNA (4374 nucleotides) under Eptatretus burgeri (inshore hagfish). RNAcentral describes it as "lncRNA (ENSEBUG00000017164.1)". The record is from RNAcentral. Lineage: Eukaryota; Metazoa; Chordata; Myxini; Myxiniformes; Myxinidae.